This 72-nucleotide transfer RNA is filed under the name Ovis aries (sheep). It matches the Rfam family "tRNA". From Rfam's summary of the family: Transfer RNA (tRNA) molecules are approximately 80 nucleotides in length. Their secondary structure includes four short double-helical elements and three loops (D, anti-codon, and T loops). Further hydrogen bonds mediate the characteristic L-shaped molecular structure. tRNAs have two regions of fundamental functional importance: the anti-codon, which is responsible for specific mRNA codon recognition, and the 3' end, to which the tRNAs corresponding amino acid is attached (by aminoacyl-tRNA synthetases). tRNAs cope with the degeneracy of the genetic code in two manners: having more than one tRNA (with a specific anti-codon) for a particular amino acid; and 'wobble' base-pairing, i.e. permitting non-standard base-pairing at the 3rd anti-codon position. Lineage: Eukaryota; Metazoa; Chordata; Mammalia; Artiodactyla; Bovidae. The record is from Rfam by way of RNAcentral.
UCCCUGGUGGCUCAGAUGGUAAAGCAUCUGCCUGCAAUACAGGACACCCAGGUUUGAUCCCUGGUUUGGGAA